CUUUUAAAACUGAACACCUAGGUGGGUUUUGUGGUGGGUGGUGAACGGACAGGUUUGGGCCUGGAUCCCCCACCCGACCCUAGCACCCACAGGUGGGGUUGCCCGCUCUACUGAUACGCCUCCUCUCUCAGCACUGUGGACCUGCUGGACUGGAGCAGCCUCAUCCACAGCAGGACCAAGCUCUCCAAGCACCUGGUGGUCCCCAACGCACAGGUAACAGCCCCGCUCUUCAGUGAGGCCCAACUCAGCGGGGCGCUGGGCUAAGAAGGGAAUUCAGCCUGCCACGUGUGUUUCUUGUUGCACACCCUGGGAACUUAACAUGACCAAGAUCACUGCACACUAUGGCCCCACAGACCCCCUGUGGUCCAGGGGGAAGAAGACAAACCCACUAGUGUCCACAGCGUGCUUGGUGGGACAGAGACCCACGCGGAGCCUUAACACGCCACAAGGAGAGGGGGUCUGGGGGCCUCCCCCAAGUCAUCUGUCUUGUGCAUCAGGCCACCCCAAACUUCAGAGGCCUGAAACGGCAGCAGCCACUCUGCUUCUGCCUCAUGGUUCUGAGGUUGACAGGGCUCAGCUGGGCAGUCCUCCCUUGGGGUCUCCUGGGUACUCACAGAGUGGUGGCGCUGGGACCUGGGGGAGGCUCACUUGUCUGGGAGUUGGUGCUGGCUGUGGCUUGGGCUUUUUCCCAACAUGGCAGCUGGGCUCUAAGGGCCAGUGUCCCCUGAGACAUGAGAGCCAGGCAGAAGCUGGGUGACCUUUUCGUGCCUCGCCUCAGAAGUCACACGGUGUCUUUUCUGCCAAGUUCUGUUUGUUAGAAGCAUAUCACCAGGCCAGCCUGUAUACAGUGGGGAGAGGAAUGAGACUCAUCUGCCUGUGGGAGGGGGGCCCAGGACCUGGCAGACUGCUUGAAACCACAACCUAAACUGGGAUUCGAAGAAAGAACAGAAGCACCUUCAGAAAACAUCCUGCAGAGGCAGCUUUCUAUGGCACAUCUAGCCCCAGUUCACUAAGGGCCCAGCCUCAAACUUAGAGCCCCUGACCCAGAGCCUCGGGGCGCAGUGUGUACAGUGUGGCUGUGCACCAGGGCCACCAGCUGUUGGAGACUUUAGCGCGGUGUAGCAAGGGAUAGAGCGGUACUGUUUGUGCCCAGUGAGGCAAGGCUGCUGGGGCCAGCAAAGGGGUGAGCGGGAGGCCCUGCGGGAUGGGUCCCCACGGCCUCUGAGCACCAGCUCCUUGAAGGCCUCAUCCUGGUGGUUGCCCUGGUCCCUGGCUACGUGUCAGCAUGUGCUGCAGGACCACCCUGUCUGCCCAUAGCCAGGGGUUCUUCCUCCUGGGCCCUCUUCCUGCUCUGUUUGACGAUUGGAUGGUCAGUGUUCACUUGCUCAGUGUCACAUGGGAGCUGCAGGGGGCCCUCCCACAAUGGUGGGGCCUUUGUGAGAACUGCGGAGACUGUUAGAGUACACACUUCGGGGUGCAGGCCUGGACUGAGCCUGGGGCCCACUGACAUGGGCACUGAGCUCCCUCAUGGUACCCCCAGGCCCCACAUAGGACAGUGCACUGGCUGCGUUGGAGGUUCUGGGGCACUGUGCUGCUGUGUCCAGGUGGCCCUCCCUCCUGGCCCUGCAUGAGAGGGUUCCUGUGGGCUGGGAACACUGAGAGAGGUUUAGCCUGGGCCUCAGGGUGGCACUUUCCAGCCCUCGCUGUGGGCUGACCACAUGUUGCACCCCCAGACAGGACAGCUGGAGCCCCUGCUGUCCCGGUUCACUGAGGAGGAGGAGCUACAGAUGACGAGGAUGCUACAGCGGAUGGAUGUCCUGGCCAAGGUGAGCUGUCCUGCUUGGGCAGAGGGCUGGGGCCUUGGGGACCUGGGACUCGUGCAGAAGAGGGCAUCUGCCUCACUUGAGCAAUAGUUGCUCCCACUCCCCCACCCCCUGCGCCUCUCAGAAAGCCACAGAGAUGGGCGUGCGGCUGAUGGUGGAUGCCGAGCAGACCUACUUCCAGCCGGCCAUCAGCCGCCUGACGCUGGAGAUGCAGCGGAAGUUCAAUGUGGAGAAGCCGCUCAUCUUCAACACAUACCAGUGCUACCUCAAGGAUGCCUAUGACAAUGUAACCCUGGAUGUGGAGCUGGCUCGCCGUGAGGGCUGGUGUUUUGGGGCCAAGCUGGUGCGGGGCGCAUACCUGGCCCAGGAGCGAGCCCGUGCGGCAGAGAUCGGCUAUGAGGACCCCAUCAACCCCACGUACGAGGCCACCAAUGCCAUGUACCACAGGUGCCUGGACUACGUGCUGGAGGAGCUGAAGCACAAUGCCAAGGCCAAGAUGAUGGUGGCCUCCCACAACGAGGACACAGUGCGCUUCGCACUGCACAGGUAGGUGUGCCCCACCCCGCACCGAAACCCUACCCCGAGCCGUUGUCUCCUCCGGUUGGGGAGAGGUGGCAGCAGCACAGAGCUCAGGGUGGGCAGAGCGACCUGCUGGGUAGUCGGGCCUUUGUGGGGAAAGGUUGGUGAAAUGAGCUGGAGGGCGGCUUCAGUGCCGCAGGCCCAGGCCCGCUGGCACUCUGGACGUCGGACUGUGAGAGCACAACGGCUCUUUGCAAUUACGUUGGUUUUUAAAAUUAACUUUUUUUUUUUUUUGAGAAUCUCGCUCUGUCACCUAUGCUGGAGUGCAGUGGCGUGGUCUCAGCUCACUGCAACCUCUGCUUCCCAAGUUCAAGCAAUUCUUCAUGCCUCAGCCUCCCAAGUAGCUGGGAUUACAGGCAUGUGCCACCACGCCUGGCUAAUGUUUUGUAUUUUUAGCAGACAGGGGUUCACCAUGUUGGCCAGCUGGUCUCAAACUCCUGGCCUCAAGUGAUCCUCCCUUCUUGGCCUCCCAAAGUGCUGGGAUUACAAGCAUCAGCCACUGUACCCAGACUUUUAAAAAUUAACAUCUGACUUAUUAAACUUCACAGUUAAAAAACUAAAUUUCAUUAGGGUAUUCGGAUGGCUCCUGAAAGGUACAAAGGCAUUGUUGGAGCCCAGUCCCUCAGGAGGCCUCCACAGCGCCACCUCAUUUAUAAGCAGUUCCCUUAACAUUUUAACUACAUCUGGAAUGUAACGGUUUGUUUUCUCUUUAAACAUUUGUCCCAUGGAGCACAACUUCAGUAGAAUUCUAACAAGUCAAAUGCAGAAGUUAGGUGAAGUCAGUUCUUGGAUACUCCUGUACUGUCACCCUGGUCUUAUCUCAUGCCUUAGCCCAAACUAUGCACACAAUGGGGUCCUAGGUCCCCCUCACCUCCCAGAUUCCGCCUUCCCAGGGAUGGGACCCCCUAGAACCCUCGGGGGCCUGGGCAGUGGCCUCACUGGCUCUCACCUUCCUAGGAGCUGAGCAGGGACUCCACUCCUCAGCAGGGCAGGGUGCCCCAGAUCCAGGACUUGUGGCAUGAUGGGGCUCCCCAAGGAGCUGUGAAGCCACAGGGCCAGGCUUGGGGCCGGGGCUGCAGCCAACAGGACACGUCCUGGUGCUGCUCGGGGAGCUGACUCACGGCUCUGAAAUCAUGCAGUGAUGUCCACAUUCGGCCUUUGUUCAUGAUGCUGCUGCUUUUUCAUGCCUGAAAUCGCAGCACACACGUUUUUGUGCCCUGACCCUCUGCUAAUUGUCAUAGGUGUGUCGGUGAUGAGACAGACUCACUUUUUCCACACACACAGGCCUGGUGGUCAGCAGUGCCCAGCACUCGGGAGCUGGUGGGGGGUCCUCUCAGCUUGUAAUCAGGACUCCCAGCCUCUGGGUGGACUCUUAAUGCUGGUGGACUCACAGCCUGACUAGACACAUUACCAUCCAACUCCAAAAAGACAGCCUGGCCUCAGCAGGGCUUCCUCUCUCCAGUUUCCCCCCGACACCUGUCUGUCCCUACUAUCUUGCUGUGGCAGUGGCUUCCCCACUGGACACAGCUUCCCCCUCCCCUGAGUGGCAGCCGGGCUCUCUCCUCAUGGCCCCAAGGGCCCUGUGCCAGGCUCCCCCAAUACCACGCUCACAUCUCUGCCUGAGAGGCUGGACCCCUGCAGGCUUCAGCUCUGGGCCCCUGCUGUGGGUGGCUGGGGAGCUCUGGGGAGCUGGGGUCCCCUCCCCUGGGUAAGUGGUUCUAGACUAUGGCAGCUGCUGUGUCCUAUGCUGGGCCCAGACUGCCGCACCACCCACCCUCAAACAACCCGAGUUGGCUUUGGCCAAGGAACAAACCAGCCCCAAACUUAGAGGCUGGAACAGUGGCAUGUUCUGUAGGCCAGGGGUGGGCUGGCUCAGCUGAUGUUUCUGCCACUGGCUGUGCCUUUGUCCCUCUUGCGUCUGUGAUCUGGGGCCGGUGGGGCCUAAUGAGCUCAUUCACAGCUGGGGCAGUAAAGGAGACUGCAUCCCCGGUCCAGCGUCCCACAGGCCAGCCCAGGUUUGGGCAUGUGGUGGGCUCAGGCUUCCAGAAGGCCUGGAGAGGGCAAGCCUCUGCUUAUGUCACCUUUGGUACCUCCCUGUUGGCCAAAGUGCCUCACGAGGCCAAGCCCAGAUGCCGGGUGGAGUGAGCCACUGUCCUGCGCUGGGAGGAGCCGCAGUCACUUGGCAGAGGCUGUGCACACCAGCAGGGGAGGGGGCAGCCAGCAGUGGCAGCCCGGCUCUCGGGUUCAUGUCCUGGGGUUGAGGAAGACACAAGAUGGGUGCCUGCUUUAGACUGGGUGGUCCCG
Molecule: small RNA, 4706 nt
Filed under: Pongo abelii (Sumatran orangutan)
Lineage: Eukaryota; Metazoa; Chordata; Mammalia; Primates; Hominidae
Description: retained intron
Source: RNAcentral